This 301-nucleotide ribosomal RNA is filed under the name uncultured bacterium. Its description in RNAcentral is "partial 16S ribosomal RNA". It matches the Rfam family "Bacterial small subunit ribosomal RNA", at positions 509 to 807 of the family's 1533-position model. The record is from RNAcentral.
CAGUAGCCACGGUAAUACGUAGGGUGCAAGCGUUAAUAGGAAUUACUGGGCGUAAAGCGUGCGCAGGCGGUUAUAUAAGACAGAUGUGAAAUCCCCGGGCUCAACCUGGGAACUGCAUUUGUGACUGUAUAGCUAGAGUACGGCAGAGGGGGAUGGAAUUCCGCGUGUAGCAGUGAAAUGCGUAGAUAUGCGGAGGAACACCGAUGGCGAAGGCAAUCCCCUGGGCCUGUACUGACGCUCAUGCACGAAAGCGUGGGGAGCAAACAGGAUUAGAUACCCGAGUAGUCCCUGUCUCUUAUAC